GGGCCCGCACAAGCAGUGGAGCAUGUGGUUUAAUUCGAUGCAACGCGAAGAACCUUACCUGGACUUGACAUGUAGCGGACGAUACUAGAGAUAGUAUUUCCUUAGGGGUCGCUAUACAGGUGCUGCAUGGCUGUCGUCAGCUCGUGUCGUGAGGUGUUGGGUUAAGUCCCGCAACGAGCGCAACCCUUAUCGUUAGUUGCCAACAGGUAAUGCUGGGAACUCUAGCGAGACUGCCUGGGUUAACCAGGAGGAAGGUGAGGAUGACGUCAAGUCAGCAUGGCCCUUAUGUCCAGGGCUACACACGUGCUACAAUGGUCGGUACAGAGGGCAGCGAACCGCGAGGUCAAGCA
This 350-nucleotide ribosomal RNA is filed under the name uncultured bacterium. RNAcentral describes it as "bacterial SSU rRNA". It matches the Rfam family "Bacterial small subunit ribosomal RNA", at positions 917 to 1269 of the family's 1533-position model. The record is from RNAcentral.